UACAGAGGGCGCGAGCGUUGUCCGGAAUCACUGGGCGUAAAGGGCGCGUAGGUGGCCACCAUAAGGCCGCGGUGAAAGUUCGGGGCUCAACCCUGAAUCGGCCGCGGCGACUGUGGGGCUGGGGCACCGUAGAGGCAGAUGGAAUUCCGGGUGUAGCGGUGGAAUGCGUAGAGAUCCGGAGGAACACCAGUGGCGAAGGCGACACGCUGGGCCGUACCUGACACUGAUGCGCGACAGCAUGGGGAGCAAACAGG
RNAcentral lists this ribosomal RNA (254 nucleotides) under uncultured bacterium. RNAcentral describes it as "partial 16S ribosomal RNA". It matches the Rfam family "Bacterial small subunit ribosomal RNA", at positions 524 to 776 of the family's 1533-position model. The record is from RNAcentral.